RNAcentral lists this non-coding RNA (875 nucleotides) under Macrophomina phaseolina MS6. RNAcentral describes it as "Eukaryotic large subunit ribosomal RNA". It matches the Rfam family "Eukaryotic large subunit ribosomal RNA", at positions 1 to 894 of the family's 3401-position model. The record is from Rfam by way of RNAcentral. Lineage: Eukaryota; Fungi; Ascomycota; Dothideomycetes; Botryosphaeriales; Botryosphaeriaceae.
UGACCUCGGAUCAGGUAGGGAUACCCGCUGAACUUAAGCAUAUCAAUAAGCGGAGGAAAAGAAACCAACAGGGAUUGCCUUAGUAACGGCGAGUGAAGCGGCAACAGCUCAAAUUUGAAAGCUGGCUCCUUCGGAGUCCGCGUUGUAAUUUGUAGAGGAUGAUUCGGCGAGGGCUCCCGCCUAAGUCCCCUGGAACGGGGCGUCAUAGAGGGUGAGAAUCCCGUAUGCGGUGGGUUGCCUUAGCCAUGUGAAUCUCCUUCGACGAGUCGAGUUGUUUGGGAAUGCAGCUCUAAAUGGGAGGUAAAUUUCUUCUAAAGCUAAAUACCGGCCAGAGACCGAUAGCGCACAAGUAGAGUGAUCGAAAGAUGAAAAGCACUUUGGAAAGAGAGUUAAAAAGUACGUGAAAUUGUUGAAAGGGAAGCGCUUGCAGCCAGACUUGUCCGCAGUUGCUCAACCGGUCUCCUGACCGGUGUACUCUUCUGCGGCCAGGCCAGCAUCAGUUCGGGCGGUCGGAUAAAGGCCCUGGGAAUGUAGCUCCUCUCGGGGAGUGUUAUAGCCCAGGGUGGAAUGCGGCCAGCCUGGACUGAGGAUCUCGCUUCGGCUAGGAUGCUGGCGUAAUGGCUGUAAGCGGCCCGUCUUGAAACACGGACCAAGGAGUCUAACAUCUAUGCGAGUGUUUGGGUGUCAAACCCAUGCGCGUAAUGAAAGUGAACGGAGGUGGGAACCCUCACGGGUGCACCAUCGACCGAUCCUGAUGUCUUCGGAUGGAUUUGAGUAAGAGCAUAGCUGUUGGGACCCGAAAGAUGGUGAACUAUGCCUGAAUAGGGUGAAGCCAGAGGAAACUCUGGUGGAGGCUCGCAGCGGUUCUGACGUGC